Molecule: unclassified non-coding RNA, 218 nt
Filed under: Hevea brasiliensis (rubber tree)
Lineage: Eukaryota; Viridiplantae; Streptophyta; Magnoliopsida; Malpighiales; Euphorbiaceae
Source: RNAcentral
AAUAAUAAUAAUAAUAAUAAAGGGUGUUCGCUUAAAAUAUGCAUAAAGCAUCCAAAAGAAACACUGGUAGACGGAACAAGUGAAAGAACAAGACAGGACAAAUACAAACAAAACAAAACCAAACCAAACCAACAUUUAAAACCUGGAAUUCAAGCUAUCAAGAAAUACAAGGCUUCCAUUUUUUCAAUUGCUUAAUGUGCUGAACAGAUAAUCAGAUU